CAAGUCGAGGGGUAUAGUUCUUCGGAACUAGAGACCGGCGCACGGGUGCGUAACGCGUAUGCAAUCUACCUUUCACAGAGGGAUAGCCCAGAGAAAUUUGGAUUAAUACCUCAUAGUAUAAUGAGUUGGCAUCAACACAUUAUUAAAGUCACAACGGUGAAAGAUGAGCAUGCGUCCCAUUAGCUAGAUGGUAAGGUAACGGCUUACCAUGGCUACGAUGGGUAGGGGUCCUGAGAGGGAGAUCCCCCACACUGGUACUGAGACACGGACCAGACUCCUACGGGAGGCAGCAGUGAGGAAUAUUGGACAAUGGGCGCAAGCCUGAUCCAGCCAUGCCGCGUGCAGGAUGACGGUCCUAUGGAUUGUAAACUGCUUUUGUACAGGAAGAAACACUGGUUCGUGAACCAGCUUGACGGUACUGUAAGAAUAAGGAUCGGCUAACUCCGUGCCAGCAGCCGCGGUAAUACGGAGGAUCCAAGCGUUAUCCGGAAUCAUUGGGUUUAAAGGGUCCGUAGGCGGUUUAGUAAGUCAGUGGUGAAAGCCCAUCGCUCAACGGUGGAACGGCCAUUGAUACUGCUAAACUUGAAUUAUUAGGAAGUAACUAGAAUAUGUAGUGUAGCGGUGAAAUGCUUAGAGAUUACAUGGAAUACCAAUUGCGAAGGCAGGUUACUACUAAUGGAUUGACGCUGAUGGACGAAAGCGUGGGCAGCGAACAGGAUUAGAUACCCUGGUAGUCCACGCCGUAAACGAUGGAUACUAGCUGUUGGAAGCAAUUUCAGUGGCUAAGCGAAAGUGAUAAGUAUCCCACCUGGGGAGUACGUUCGCAAGAAUGAAACUCAAAGGAAUUGACGG
RNAcentral lists this ribosomal RNA (852 nucleotides) under uncultured bacterium. RNAcentral describes it as "bacterial SSU rRNA". It matches the Rfam family "Bacterial small subunit ribosomal RNA", at positions 58 to 916 of the family's 1533-position model. The record is from RNAcentral.